This 611-nucleotide ribosomal RNA is filed under the name uncultured Acidobacteriota bacterium. RNAcentral's name for it is "bacterial SSU rRNA". It matches the Rfam family "Bacterial small subunit ribosomal RNA", at positions 8 to 651 of the family's 1533-position model. The record is from RNAcentral. Lineage: Bacteria; Pseudomonadati; Acidobacteriota.
AGAGUUUGAUCCUGGCUCAGAGUCAACGCUGGCGGCGCGCUUAACACAUGCAAGUCGCACGAGAAAGGGGAGCAAUCCCUGAGUAAAGUGGCGCACGGGUGAGUAACACGUGGAUCAUCUACCUUCGAGUGGGGAAUACCCCCGGGAAACUGGGGACAAUACCGCAUAAGCUCGCGAGAGGAAAGCCGAAAGGCGCUGGAAGAGGGGUCCGCGGCUGAUUAGCUAGAUGGUGAGGUAACGGCCCACCAUGGCGAAGAUCGGUAGCCGGCCUGAGAGGGCACACGGCCACACUGGCACUGAAACACGGGCCAGACUCCUACGGGAGGCAGCAGUGGGGAAUCUUGCACAAUGGGGGAAACCCUGAUGCAGCGACGCCGCGUGAGCGAUGAAGCCCUUCGGGGUGUAAAGCUCUUUCGACGGGAACGAUAAUGACGGUACCCGAAGAAGAAGCUGCGGCUAACUACGUGCCAGCAGCCGCGGUAAUACGUAGGCAGCAAGCGUUGUUCGGAAUUACUGGGCGUAAAGAGUGUGUAGGCUGUUCUCUAAGUCUGUCGUGAAAUCUCCCGGCCUAACUGGGAGGGUGCGGCGGAAACUGGAGUGCUAGAGGGUGG